This 301-nucleotide ribosomal RNA is filed under the name uncultured bacterium. RNAcentral's name for it is "partial 16S ribosomal RNA". It matches the Rfam family "Bacterial small subunit ribosomal RNA", at positions 509 to 807 of the family's 1533-position model. The record is from RNAcentral.
CAGCAGCCGCGGUAAUACGGAGGGUGCAAGCGUUAAUCGGAAUUACUGGGCGUAAAGCGUGCGUAGGCGGUUUGACAAGUCUUGUGUGAAAUCUCUGGGCUCAACCCAGAGUCUGCACGGGAAACUGUCGGGCUAGAGGAUGGGAGAGGUGAGUGGAAUUUCCGGUGUAGCGGUGAAAUGCGUAGAUAUCGGAAGGAACACCUGUGGCGAAAGCGGCUCACUGGACCAUUACUGACGCUGAGGCGCGAAAGCUAGGGGAGCAAACAGGAUUAGAUACCCGCGUAGUCCCUGUCUCUUAUAC